Molecule: long non-coding RNA, 1135 nt
Organism: Oncorhynchus tshawytscha (Chinook salmon)
Lineage: Eukaryota; Metazoa; Chordata; Actinopteri; Salmoniformes; Salmonidae
Source: Ensembl
CGGGGAGAGUGUCUAGGGAUGUCACGCACCUCUGCUACCAGGGAGGAACCUGCCGUGGCAGCAAGCUCAACAUUUAAGAACAGCAAGAGGGGACGUUAUCAGACAGCAGGAUGGGAGUCCAUUACACAUAAUCAGCCAAGACCGUUGAAGAGUGUUUUCCUGACGAGAAGAGUGCAGAGAGCAGGGCUUGACUGCAGGGUUCUGGCUCCAGUGCCAACACACCAGCAAGAGAUGCCUUGCCACAGAGGGAAGAACUAGGCAGUUACACCAGCAAAUGGAUACACAAAUUGGAGGAAACAGGCACAGUGGGAAUAAUUCCCCGACACAGCUCAUGACCAGAAGCUGAGAAAGAGAAAAGGAUCUCUGAAGAUUAACCUGGACCGGAAGACUCCACAUCUUGGCAUUACUUAGGAAUAAAACAUUACUUUGUUUGACUGCUUGAGCCAGACCAGAGGUGAUGCAUUUCCAUUUAAGCGUUAACACUGUAUUGCCCUUUCAAGAGCUCUUCAAUAUCAAAUUAAGUAUUUUGUUCUGGAAAUAAAUGUACUUAGAUUUUAUUUAGGCAACACCUAUUCCUUCUUUAUUUGGGUUGUUGGUAUAGAUUGUGAUUUGUGAAACAGGUUUGUGUCAUUUUUGUUAUUGUAAACAAAUGCAAUAUUAGUCAACAUAAUACAAUUGUUGGCUUUAAAUUUGAUUGUGUAGUGUCAAUGCAUCAAGUACAGUAUGCCUAUGACUUAAAUGUUGUAAUUUGAUUGAAAGAGGUAUGAAGUUAAAUAUUUUCUCCUUUUAAAGACCAGUGUGCAUCCACAUGGCGUAUAUGAUACUGCUCUGCAUGUGAACAUUUAAUUGAUUCGUUUUAGACCUGUUUAUACGUUUAAUUAAAUAUGCACUAAGCAGAAAUCGCUCCGCCAUUUCCUAGUUGCUAAAAUUUUAACAGUUUGCCUAAUUUUAGAUUAUGUGACAAAACGAGCAAGAAUAGUGUAGAGAAUCAUUAUACCAUCUAAACCGUUGUGAAAUAUUUUUUCAAUAAUCAAAAAUAUUGUAUUUUCAGCUAUUUGAACCUGGUAUGCAAAAGAAGCAAAAACAAAACAAAAACGGGAUGCAUAGAAAUAGCGCACAUAGAACAGUUCUACCG